GGGGAAUUACCACCAUCUACUGACAGUUUGGCGAGAGCUCAGACUAUAGUAAGGAGUUCAAUAAGAAGUUCUAAAAGACGUGGCUCCAUACACCUUUCUGAACUUGUCCGGAUCGGAGCCUCCACCCUGCCCAACGAAGACCCCAGCACCACCUUCAAGCUCCAUCUCAUCAGGGGACCUUUCGAUGCGCUGCACUUGAGGUUCUAUGUCACAAUUCAGGUAGAACAUGACCUUGUCAUCCUUUACCGCAAUGGCAAAACGGGUCCAGGAGUCCUUCAAAGCAGGGUGUCAGUUUGACGGCCACAUACAUGAUCUGCUGUGUGGCGUCUGUGACCGAGAAGAUUACACCGCCCUUGUCGGAUGUUGGCUUCAAGUUGAAGAUGAGGGAAAAGUCCCUGUAGAAUGGGCUCGGCAAGUGGGCACGGGCCAACUGGCCCGUGUUGGCAUCAGGGCCAAACACAUAACCAGGAGUGCUGUCAGGCCCAUAAACUCGUGUGAUCUCAUUUGGAGGAGGGUCCCCUAUCAGCUCAAGCAGAGACACACCACUGUCUUCUAGAAGAGAGGGGAAAAAAAUGGACGUCAGACCACAAAUUUCAAAACAUGUAGGGAGCAUGAAAAGGGUAGGCAGCAUCAGAGAUUAAAAUGUUAGAAUGGGUUUUAUUAAGUGUUUGGCAUUGUAGUGUGAUUGUGUCUGAUAGAACUAAGAGUAUUUUACAAGCUAAUCUUAACAUUUUCAAACUCAACAAAACUAUAUUUUUGAAGAAACAAGGGCAAAAUAAGAAG
Molecule: long non-coding RNA, 783 nt
Organism: Corythoichthys intestinalis (scribbled pipefish)
Lineage: Eukaryota; Metazoa; Chordata; Actinopteri; Syngnathiformes; Syngnathidae
Exons: 3
Source: RefSeq, a predicted model, not a curated record